GCUGGAGUGGCGCAGUGGUAGCGCAAUUGAUUCGUAAUCAAUAGGUCGUGGGUUCAAAUCCCAUCUCCAGCU
RNAcentral lists this transfer RNA (72 nucleotides) under Oscillospiraceae bacterium. RNAcentral's name for it is "tRNA-Thr". It matches the Rfam family "tRNA". From Rfam's summary of the family: Transfer RNA (tRNA) molecules are approximately 80 nucleotides in length. Their secondary structure includes four short double-helical elements and three loops (D, anti-codon, and T loops). Further hydrogen bonds mediate the characteristic L-shaped molecular structure. tRNAs have two regions of fundamental functional importance: the anti-codon, which is responsible for specific mRNA codon recognition, and the 3' end, to which the tRNAs corresponding amino acid is attached (by aminoacyl-tRNA synthetases). tRNAs cope with the degeneracy of the genetic code in two manners: having more than one tRNA (with a specific anti-codon) for a particular amino acid; and 'wobble' base-pairing, i.e. permitting non-standard base-pairing at the 3rd anti-codon position. Lineage: Bacteria; Bacillati; Bacillota; Clostridia; Eubacteriales; Oscillospiraceae. The record is from RNAcentral.